RNAcentral lists this ribosomal RNA (92 nucleotides) under Cavia porcellus (domestic guinea pig). Lineage: Eukaryota; Metazoa; Chordata; Mammalia; Rodentia; Caviidae. The record is from RNAcentral.
AUCUACGGCCACACCACCCUGAAUGUGCCCGAUCUUCUCUGAUCUCGGAAGCUAAGCAGGGUCAGGCCUGGUUAAUACUUGGACGGGAGAAU